Schistosoma rodhaini is the source of this 45-nucleotide non-coding RNA. Lineage: Eukaryota; Metazoa; Platyhelminthes; Trematoda; Strigeidida; Schistosomatidae. The record is from Rfam.
AUCCAGCUGACGAGUCCCAAAUAGAACGAAAUGCGCGUCCUGGAU